AUGGGUGAAAGUCUCUCUGAGUCUGUACUGUAACUCUGGGCUGAGCGACUCACUUGCUGUGUCUUCAGGGUGAUUGAUCAGGCUUGCAGGGAGGAGAGACGGAGGGAAGAGAAGGGGAGACGAGUCCGGUAGCAGGCAGGCAGGCAGCUGGCUGGGUGUGUUAACUCCACAUCUGACCUCUAUGGGAGCAGAGUUGCCUCCUCUCCUCUCCAAGCAGACUGUGGGAACUGGGGGGACAGAGCUUUAUCCUCCCUCCCUCCCUCCCUCCCUCCACACCACCACCACCUCCCCACCUCUCUCUGCUUCUUGCUGGGCCAUAGAGCUCAGAGAACUGGCACUGGACAGACCGGGACAUGACAGGACAAGACAGCUCUGGCAGUGGAGCCCUCUGAGGAUUUCCACUGCAGAAGGAGUUCUGGAGCCGCCUCUGUCACUCAGACAGACGGGCGGGUUUCUUGUCUGUUAUUAGCCAGAUUUUAGUUUGUCAGCCAGUAAUUCAGUCACUGGGGUCUCUUCCACUCUGUGAAUAUCCUCAUCUGAACUCUGAUGUGACUCAGACGCCGUCCUGGACCACCAGAGGACCGCCAGAGGGUACGGUCACAGGUGUUCCACAGCUGCUGCGGAAAAGAAGCAUCUGGAGUCCAAAAACAAUGUAAUAGUGCGGAGGGCGGUAAAGGGCAGAGAGGUGGAGACCGGGCCUCUGGUCUCGCUGUUUAGGGGAGGGUUCCUGGCACCGUGAUUUGAUGCACAAAGAGAAACAAAAAUCACAUUGCCAGGGAUUUCCACUCCUUCACAGCUCAGCAGGACGUCUGUCCCGACCUCACAUUUCCACUCAGGGACUCAUUUUGAGGCCGGAUUCUGGAGCGCUGAAGGAAUUAAACCAAAAUGCUAUCAACCCAUCUCUGCAGACCUCUAAAAGGUUAAGUUGUGUCUGUGUGUAUUUAAGGCUGCAGCUGUUUGAAAUUUAAACUAUCCUCACCACUCUCUGCUCUAAUGUGCCAGGAAAUGGAUGUAAAUGCAAGCCAGAGCCACACAGGAGAAGGUUUAUAUUUCAGAUGUUGGAUUUUAGGGUUUAUAAACAAGGAAUUUAUUUGGAGAGCUAAGAUAAAAGUGGAGAUCCCUCCACUGCACCCUCUGAACACUCUGCAGAAUCUGAAACCACUGACUUCACUGCCGACGUCUCACGUAAAGGUCUGCAUAAAUCUCAGCCAGCCGCCCACUUGCUAAAGGCACAGAGCUUAGCUAAUUGGUGAGCAUUGAUCCCUGCAAUGUGUUGUUCACAGUGGCUAAGUUCAGUGCCCGAGGUGAAAUAGUUGAUUCAACGUGGAGGAUUUGUUCCGGUGGAUGGACUGAACUUGAUGAUCUCGGAGAAGCUGAAAGAAGAAGGGAUCAAGGAAGGGAAGGAGGAGUGAGAGGUCAGGAGGAGACCAAAUGACGUGUAUGGAGAAUAAGGUCACUAUUAUGGCCUGAAAGUGUGAUUUUUGAACUUGUACUGGUCUACCUUGUGCAUGAAAGAAACUUUUGCCAUUUAGAUCAGUAUAUUCUCAUAAACUGACCCAAAAAUCUGACCAUGUGACCCAUGUACAAUAAUUUAAAAUAAUACGAACUGGAGCAAGCUCAUGACGUCUCUUCUAAUUUUAUCCCUGCAUUAACAGCAUUCAAGCCUGUGCAAAAAAAAAUCCAAAAUCUUAAAUAUAUAUAAUCAUAAAGUGAAUAGAGUGUCAUUAUUGAUUGAGAGUUUAAACGUUUGUUGUGACUGGAUAAGUCACUGCUUCUUCCUGCUCCUCUUCAAACAUAUUUUGUUUUUGAUUUUACGAAUCGUUUAUUUGUUGCUAUUUUUUUUGCCUGCAUUUGUUUUACUGAUGUUUUAAGGAAGGAAGGAAAAAAAGGAAAUACCAACCCGGUUCAAGAAAGGGACAAGUUGUAAUUUUACUUAAGGCAGUUUUACUUUUAAAUUUGUAAAAAAAAAAUCACAUUUUUAUUGGCCUAUGGUAUAUUCAUGGUGCCCUUUUAUUCACUUACUAGAUUCAACACUUUCCUGUUAUGAUGGAAAUCACAACAUUCACUCUGACCACAAAAGUUUGAAUUACAGUUUCCAGCAUUUUCUAAUUUUCUCGCUCCAGCCCACUCUGCUGACUAACACAACCCAAAGCCGUACGUCGUGACCGAGUGGAUCCAAGAGUUGAGUUUGCUGAUGAUUUGAUGACUUUCAGAGUCUUUUUGAGGUAUUUUGGAGCCAACACACGAUCACUUGUGUUUUCUGACUCAUGGUAACAUCCAUCUUUAGUCUGAAAUGGAGCCAUUUUACAGUGAUGCCAUUAAUCUUUAUCUGUGAGAAUGUCACAGUAUGUGUACCUCAGUAUUAAACUAAUUUUUUACAGGGUUGGUGCAACCUAUUGCAAAGGAGUGAAACAAAAAGAUUCUUAAAUAUAACUUGAAGUUUGUCAUUGUCCUUCCUGUGCUGCUCUGUUUUUAGAAUAAAACCUAGAAGUACAGGUAAAUAUUAGUGAUAUUAACACUCCCAGCAUGAUAAACUCCGAAUAUAUAACAUUUUGUAUCUUUCCUUUGUGACUAUAUUACUUUAAAAAAAAUUUCAUUAACAUAAAUAGCUUUUUUAACCCCAUUUUGAGUUGCACGAAGUAAAGAUUUCACAUAGUCUAGUUGAAGUUAGAGAUAUUAUCAUACGCAUAAGACGUGCAAGCUUGAAAUAUUUUUCCUUGUACGUCAGUCAGAGACUUAUUUCAAUAGAUAUUUUCAAUAGACAUCUUCUCAGCUUUUAAAAACGUUGCAGUAAAACAAGAUAAGAUGCGGAAAAAACGAUAAUAAAAGUCUUAACUUGAAGCAAGAUAUAAUCCAGUUAUGAUGCUGGGAAUUGUUUUGGAUGAUUGCUGCUGGAGACUCUGACUUCAGAUACCAUUUGUUGUUGGAGUAAUGUCUGGGAUUUAAUAUUUGUGGCAACGCCAGUGAGCUGUGAAAAUACAAUUUGUGCGGACAGUUUAUGAAAAGCAUGACUUAUAUUUGUGUGCAUGGCAUGCGAAAUGUAGACUAAGCAUAUUUGAUUGAGCUAAGAAAUGUGGGUUUUGUCUCCGCACUUCUGGUCUUUCUGUUUCAUUGAGCAUGAUUUGCAAACUUUGUUCAGACAGCAGCCAAAACACUAAUUAUUACAUUAAAGCGUUCAAAACAAAUGCUAAGUUCAUGAAGCAUGAGAAUAUUAUUUUUCUGUAAGUUUUGUUUGCACACAAUUAACUAAACGUGUUUCUAAAUAUGCUACAGACUAAAUUAAAAGCAGAUCAAAUCA
Molecule: long non-coding RNA, 3298 nt
Organism: Xiphophorus maculatus (southern platyfish)
Lineage: Eukaryota; Metazoa; Chordata; Actinopteri; Cyprinodontiformes; Poeciliidae
Exons: 2
Source: RefSeq, a predicted model, not a curated record